GGAGAGAAGACCUUGGAGUUGAGUGAAGUUUGUUUCUUCCAGAAAAAUUAGAGAAAACAACAGGAGGCCAUAUUCAAGGGAGAGCUUUAUUGCUUCCGUGAUGGUCGGACCCGUGGAGCUGGCAUGUAUAUAUACCACAGGAGCUCGAGAGGCCAGAAAAGGGCAUCAGAUCUCCCGGAACUGGAGUUACAGAAAAAUUAGAGAAAACAACAGGAGGCCAUAUUCAAGGGAGAGCUUUAUUGCUUCCGUG
This is a long non-coding RNA of Psammomys obesus (fat sand rat), 250 nucleotides long. RefSeq lists it as uncharacterized. The transcript has 3 exons. NCBI's taxonomy places the organism in Eukaryota, Metazoa, Chordata, Mammalia, Rodentia, Muridae. The record is from RefSeq and is a predicted model, not a curated record.